This 288-nucleotide ribosomal RNA is filed under the name uncultured Streptomyces sp. Its description in RNAcentral is "partial 16S ribosomal RNA". It matches the Rfam family "Bacterial small subunit ribosomal RNA", at positions 223 to 523 of the family's 1533-position model. Lineage: Bacteria; Bacillati; Actinomycetota; Actinomycetes; Kitasatosporales; Streptomycetaceae. The record is from RNAcentral.
GGAUGAGCCCGCGGCCUAUCAGCUUGUUGGUGGGGUGAUGGCCUACCAAGGCGACGACGGGUAGCCGGCCUGAGAGGGUGACCGGCCACACUGGGACUGAGACACGGCCCAGACUCCUACGGGAGGCAGCAGUGGGGAAUAUUGCACAAUGGGCGGAAGCCUGAUGCAGCGACGCCGCGUGAGGGAUGACGGCCUUCGGGUUGUAAACCUCUUUCAGCAGGGAAGAAGCGCAAGUGACGGUACCUGCAGAAGAAGCACCGGCUAACUACGUGACAGCAGCCGCGGCCG